GACGAACGCUGGCGGCGUGCUUAACACAUGCAAGUCGAACGGGCCCGCCCCUGUUUUUGGGGGUGGGUUGAGUGGCGAACGGGUGAGUAUCACGUGAGUAACCUGCCCCCUGCUCCUGGAUAACUGCUUGAAAGGGCGGCUAAUACGGGGUGUGCCGGCUGGUCCGCAUGGGCCUGGUCGGGAUAGUUUCAUCUUCGGGUGUUUCGGUGGGGGAUGGGCUCGCGGCCUAUCAGCUUGUUGGUGGGGUGAUGGCCCACCAAGGCGGGGACGGGUAGCCGGCCUGAGAGGGUGGGCGGCCACACUGGGACUGAGACACGGCCCAGACUCCUGCGGGAGGCAGCAGUGGGGGGUAUUGCACAAUGGGCGGAAGCCUGAUGCAGCGACGUCGCGUGAGGGAUGGAGGCCUUCGGGUUGUGAACCUCUUUCUCCGGUGGUGAAGGCCCUGUCCGUUGCGGCGGGGUUGACGGUAGCCGGGUAUGAAGCGCCGGCUAACUACGUG
Molecule: ribosomal RNA, 499 nt
Filed under: uncultured bacterium
Lineage: Bacteria
Description: partial 16S ribosomal RNA
Rfam family: Bacterial small subunit ribosomal RNA
Source: RNAcentral